AACUAGCUGCUGAUCGUUCCGUACCUUGGUUUUUGACAUGCCUGAGCCAGCGAAGUCCGCUCCCGCCCCGAAGAAGGGCUCCAAGAAGGCGGUGACCAAGGCUCAGAAGAAGGACGGCAAGAAGCGCAAGCGCAGCCGCAAGGAGAGCUACUCCGUGUACGUGUACAAGGUGCUGAAGCAGGUGCACCCCGACACCGGCAUCUCCUCCAAGGCCAUGGGCAUCAUGAACUCCUUCGUCAACGACAUCUUCGAGCGCAUCGCCGGCAAGGCUUCCCGCCUGGCGCAUUACAACAAGCGACCAUCACCUCCAGGGAGAUCCAGACGGCCGUGCGCCUGCUGCUGCCUGGGGAGCUGGCCAAGCACGCCAUGUCGGAGGGCACCAAGGCCGUCACCAAGUGCACCAGCGCUAAGUAAACUUGACAAGGAGGGACCUUUUCUGGAAUUUCCUGAUCUGAUCAAGAAAGCUUCUUACAAAAAAAAAAAAAAAAAAAAAAAAAAAAAAAGACUGAGGAAUGCAACCACACCUGGAUGGACUUUUCCACAAGAUAAAGCUGGCCUCUUUGUCUCAUUCAGAUUUCAAAGAGAAUCAUUUACAAGUUAAUUUCUGUCUCCCUGGUUCAUUCCUUCUCACUUAUAAUCAUUCGCUGUUCCUCAAAUAAUUGUAUACAUUACCCAUCUCCUCUUUUGCCUCUGAGAAAGGGUAUAUAAGCUUCUGUACCCCGCCAAGGGGUUGGAGUAAUCAUUCUGUGGCCCCCAGCCCUGUACAUUAAUAAAUUUGUAUGCCUUUUCUCUU
Molecule: RNA transcript, 793 nt
Organism: Sapajus apella (tufted capuchin)
Lineage: Eukaryota; Metazoa; Chordata; Mammalia; Primates; Cebidae
Gene name: histone H2B type 1-K-like
Exons: 1
Source: RefSeq, a predicted model, not a curated record